UACGGGGGGAGCAAGCGUUGUUCGGAUUUACUGGGCGUAAAGGGCGCGUAGGCGGCCACCGCAAGUCAAUUGUGAAAUCUCCGGGCUUAACUCGGAAAGGUCAACUGAUACUGCGGGGCUAGAGUGCGGAAGGGGCAACUGGAAUUCUCGGUGUAGCGGUGAAAUGCGUAGAUAUCUGGAGGAACACCGGUGGCGAAGGCGGCAUCCUGGACCGGUAUUGACACUGAGGCGCGAAAGCCAGGGGAGCAAACGGG
RNAcentral lists this ribosomal RNA (254 nucleotides) under uncultured bacterium. RNAcentral describes it as "partial 16S ribosomal RNA". It matches the Rfam family "Bacterial small subunit ribosomal RNA", at positions 524 to 776 of the family's 1533-position model. The record is from RNAcentral.